AACUGAUACUACCUGCGGGAACCUGCGGAGGGAUCAUUAUUGAUUCUAUAAUGGUGAGGCGGGAAAUGUUGUGCUGGCUCUGAUAAGGGGCAUGUGCACGCAUAUCCUAUAUAGCCUUGCCAAAAACCCCUCAUUCACACUUUGUGCACCUGCUGUAGGUCUGUUAAUGGACCUAUGUCUUUUCAUAUCUUCCAUAGUAUGUUUAUAGAAUGUUAAUUGGGAUGAUAUAAAUUAUACAAC
RNAcentral lists this unclassified non-coding RNA (240 nucleotides) under soil metagenome. RNAcentral describes it as "partial contains 5.8S ribosomal RNA, internal transcribed spacer 2, and large subunit ribosomal RNA". The record is from RNAcentral.